CCCAGUAGCUCUGCCACAGACUGCCUCAGGGACCAAGGUCCCAUUUCUUAGCUUCUGGGAACAACCACUUCUUUAUCUUGCAAAUAAGGCUAAUUAAACAGGCUGUGCAAGAGUUAACCCAGAGUAGGAGAAUGGCAGAGAAGUGAAAGAACACUGUGGUUGGAGAUUUAAAACCACCCUCUUCCCCAGAGGAGCAGCAGCAGCACCAAGUCGUCCAAGUGGUACCAUGGCAGUUUGUCCUUGGCAGUGAGCAGAAGACACAGCCUUCAUCUCGUCUUCCCCUUCCACCUUCUGCCGUGUGAGGACACAGCAAGAAGGCCAAUCCCAG
Molecule: long non-coding RNA, 328 nt
Organism: Homo sapiens (human)
Lineage: Eukaryota; Metazoa; Chordata; Mammalia; Primates; Hominidae
Exons: 3
Source: RefSeq, a predicted model, not a curated record